RNAcentral lists this ribosomal RNA (752 nucleotides) under uncultured bacterium. RNAcentral describes it as "bacterial SSU rRNA". It matches the Rfam family "Bacterial small subunit ribosomal RNA", at positions 8 to 796 of the family's 1533-position model. The record is from RNAcentral.
AGAGUUUGAUCCUGGCUCAGAAUCAACGCUGGCGGCGCGCUUAACACAUGCAAGUCGCACGAGAAAGUCCGCAAGGAUGAGUAAAGUGGCGUACGGGUGAGUAACACGUGGAUCAUCUACCUUUUAGUGGGGAAUACCUCCUGGAAACGGGAGACAAUACCGCAUAAGCUCGAAAGAGGAAAGCAGCAAUGCGCUGAAAGAGGAGUCCGCGGCUGAUUAGCUAGAUGGCGGGGUAACGGCCCACCAUGGCGAAGAUCGGUAGCCGGCCUGAGAGGGCACACGGCCACACUGGCACUGAAACACGGGCCAGACUCCUACGGGAGGCAGCAGUGGGGAAUCUUGCACAAUGGAGGAAACUCUGAUGCAGCGACGCCGCGUGAGCGAUGAAGCCCUUCGGGGUGUAAAGCUCUUUCGACGGGAACGAUAAUGACGGUACCCGAAGAAGAAGCUGCGGCUAACUACGUGCCAGCAGCCGCGGUAAUACGUAGGCAGCAAGCGUUGUUCGGAAUUACUGGGCGUAAAGAGUGUGUAGGCGGUGUUGCAAGUCUGUCGUGAAAUCUCCCGGCUUAACUGGGAGGGUGCGGCGGAUACUGCAAUGCUAGAGGGUGGGAGAGGUAAGCGGAAUUCCUGGUGUAGCGGUGAAAUGCGUAGAUAUCAGGAGGAACACCUGGUGUAGACAGCUUACUGGACCACUUCUGACGCUGAGACACGAAAGCGUGGGUAGCAAACAGGAUUAGAUACCCUAGUAGUCC